AACCUGGUUGAUCUUGCCAGUAGUCAUAUGCUUGUCUCAAAGAUUAAGCCAUGCAAGUGAAAGUAUAUGCAUAUUUUAUAUGUAGAAACUGCGAACGGCUCAUUAAAACAGUUAUAGUCUACUUGACAUUUUUUUUAUAAGGAUAACUACGGAAAAGCUGUAGCUAAUACUUGCUUUAAUACUCUUAAUUCUUUAUGUUUUUUGAGUAUGUAUUUGUUAAGCCUUAUAAGAGAAAAGUAUAUUAACUUAAGGAAUAUAACAAAGAAGUAACACAUAAUAAAUUUCGAUUUAUUUAGUGUGUAUCAAUCGAGUUUCUGACCUAUCAGCUUUUGAUGUUAGGGUAUUGGCCUAACAUGGCUAUGACGGGUAACGGGGAAUUAGAGUUCGAUUCCGGAGAGGGAGCCUGAGAAAUAGCUACCACAUCUAAGGAAGGCAGCAGGCGCGUAAAUUACCCAAUUCUAAAGAAGAGAGGUAGUGACAAGAAAUAACAAUGCAAGGCCAAAUUUUGGUUUUGCAAUUGGAAUGAUGGGAAUUUAAAACCUUCCCAGAAGGCAAUUGGAGGGCAAGUCUGGUGCCAGCAGCCGCGGUAAUUCCAGCUCCAAUAGCGUAUAUUAAAAUUGUUGCAGUUAAAACGCUCGUAGUUGAAUUUCAAGGAAUCAAUAUUUUAAGUAAUGCUUUGUAUAUUUAUAACAAAGUUGUACAUUAAGAAUAAACGCCAAGCGUUAUAUUUUUUCUGUUACAUUUUGUUUUAUUAAUAUAUAUAUGCGUUCUUAUUAUAAAAAUGAUUCUUUUUAAAAUUCUUUUGUAUAAUUUUUUAUGCAUGGGAAUUUUGUUACUUUGAGUAAAUUAGAGUGUUCAAAGCAAACAGUUAAAACAGUUUCUGUGUUUGAAUACUACAGCAUGGAAUAACAAAAUUGAACAAGUCAGAAUUUUGUUCUUUUUUCUUAUUUUGGCUUAGUUACGAUUAAUAGGAGUAGCUUGGGGGCAUUUGUAUUCAGAUGUCAGAGGUGAAAUUCUUAGAUUUUCUGGAGACAAGCAACUGCGAAAGCAUUUGCCUAAAAUACUUCCAUUAAUCAAGAACGAAAGUUAAGGGAGUGAAGACGAUCAGAUACCGUCGUAAUCUUAACCAUAAACUAUGCCGACUAGGUGUUGGAUGAUAGAGUAAAAAAUAAAAGAGACAUUCAUAUGAGUGUUUCUUUUAGAUAGCUUCCUUCAGUACCUUAUGAGAAAUCAAAGUCUUUGGGUUCUGGGGCGAGUAUUCGCGCAAGCGAGAAAGUUAAAAGAAUUGACGGAAGGGCACCACCAGGCGUGGAGCUUGCGGCUUAAUUUGACUCAACACGGGGAAACUCACUAGUUUAAGACAAGAGUAGGAUUGACAGAUUAAUAGCUCUUUCUUGAUUUCUUGGAUGGUGAUGCAUGGCCGUUUUUAGUUCGUGAAUAUGAUUUGUCUGGUUAAUUCCGAUAACGAACGAGAUCUUAACCUGCUAAUUAGCGGUAAAUACACUAUAUUCUUAAGUGAAAUUAGAAUAUAGAUAAAUUGUGCUAAUUUUGAUUAAAAUAUUAGAAUGUUUUUUUUAAUAAAAACGUUCUUUUCCCUUUUUUUCUUAAUUAUGCAUAUUUAUUCUUUUUCUUUUUUCGCAUAAGAAUGUAUUUGCUUAAUUGUAAAGCUUCUUAGAGGAACGAUGUGUGUCUAACACAAGGAAGUUUAAGGCAACAACAGGUCUGUGAUGUCCUUAGAUGAACUAGGCUGCACGCGUGCUACACUGAUAUGUAUAACGAGUAUUUAAAAAUAUAUAUCUUGUUAUGUUAUAUGUAUUUCUAUAUGUAUGCAUGCAAAGAAUAUAUAGUUUUCCUCCACUGAAAAGUGUAGGUAAUCUUUUUCAAUACAUAUCGUGAUGGGGAUAGAUUAUUGCAAUUAUUAAUCUUGAACGAGGAAUGCCUAGUAAGCAUGAUUCAUCAGAUUGUGCUGACUACGUCCCUGCCCUUUGUACACACCGCCCGUCGCUCCUACCGAUUGAAAGAUAUGAUGAAUUGUUUGGACAAGGAAAAAGGGUUUUUUUCUUUUUUCUGGAAAAAUCGUAAAUCCUAUCUUUUAAAGGAAGGAGAAAGUCGUAACAAGGUUUCCGUCGGUGAACCUGCGGAAGGAUCAUUA
Molecule: ribosomal RNA, 2152 nt
Filed under: Plasmodium cf. malariae
Lineage: Eukaryota; Apicomplexa; Aconoidasida; Haemosporida; Plasmodiidae
Description: SSU rRNA
Rfam family: Eukaryotic small subunit ribosomal RNA
Source: RNAcentral